GAUGAACGCUGGCGGCGUGCCUAAUACAUGCAAGUCGAGCGAAUGGAUUAAGAGCUUGCUCUUAUGAAGUUAGCGGCGGACGGGUGAGUAACACGUGGGUAACCUGCCCAUACGACUGGGAUAACUCCGGGAAACCGGGGCUAAUACCGGAUCACAUUUUGAACCGCAUGGUUCGAAAUUGAAAGGCGGCUUCGGCUGUCACUUAUGGAUGGACCCGCGUCGCAUUAGCUAGUUGGUGAGGUAACGGCUCACCAAGGCAACGAUGCGUAGCCGACCGGAGAGGGUGAUCGGCCACACUGGGACUGAGACACGGCCCAGACUCCUACGGGAGGCAGCAGUAGGGAAUCUUCCGCAAUGGACGAAAGUCUGACGGAGCAACGCCGCGUGAGUGAUGAAGGCUUUCGGGUCGUAAAACUCUGUUGUUAGGGAAGAACAAGUGCUAGUUGAAUAAGCUGGCACCUUGACGGUACCUAACCAGAAAGCCACGGCUAACUACGUGCCAGCAGCCGCGGUAA
RNAcentral lists this ribosomal RNA (515 nucleotides) under uncultured bacterium. Its description in RNAcentral is "partial 16S ribosomal RNA". It matches the Rfam family "Bacterial small subunit ribosomal RNA", at positions 28 to 523 of the family's 1533-position model. The record is from RNAcentral.